CGGUGGAGCAUGUGGUUCAAUUCGAAGCAACGCGCAGAACCUUACCUGGGUUUGACUAGCCAGGAUUAUCUCCGUGAAAGCGGUGCCGAACUGACAGGUGUGACGAGCGAAACCUUUACCCUUAGUUACCAGCGAGAUGUCAAGUCUCAUGGCCUUUAUACCCAGGCCACAUACAUGGCGUUCAUAAGCGACCCUAAACUGCGAAGUCAUGGAUCGCAAAAAUAACGCCCCAGUUCAGAUUGGAGUGCAACUCGCCUCCAUGAAGUUGGAAUCGCUAGUAAUCGGGAUCAGCUACGCCGCGGUGAAUGUGUUCCUGAGCCUUGUACACACCGCCGUCAAGUCAUGGGAGCCGGAAAUAGCCGAAGUGGCCACAAUACUGUGGUCCCUACGUAGGUUCGGUGACUGGGACUAAGUCGUACAAGGU
This 424-nucleotide ribosomal RNA is filed under the name uncultured Planctomycetota bacterium. RNAcentral's name for it is "bacterial SSU rRNA". It matches the Rfam family "Bacterial small subunit ribosomal RNA", at positions 930 to 1497 of the family's 1533-position model. Lineage: Bacteria; Pseudomonadati; Planctomycetota. The record is from RNAcentral.